This 1359-nucleotide ribosomal RNA is filed under the name uncultured bacterium. Its description in RNAcentral is "partial 16S ribosomal RNA". It matches the Rfam family "Bacterial small subunit ribosomal RNA". The record is from RNAcentral.
AGAGUUUGAUCCUGGCUCAGGAUGAACGCUGGCGGCGUGCCUAACACAUGCAAGUCGAGCGAUUCUCUUCGGAGAAGAGCGGCGGACGGGUGAGUAACGCGUGGGUAACCUGCCCUGUACACACGGAUAACAUACCGAAAGGUAUGCUAAUACGGGAUAAUAUAUAAGAGUCGCAUGACUUUUAUAUCAAAGAUUUUUCGGUACAGGAUGGACCCGCGUCUGAUUAGCUUGUUGGCGGGGUAACGGCCCACCAAGGCGACGAUCAGUAGCCGACCUGAGAGGGUGAUCGGCCACAUUGGAACUGAGACACGGUCCAAACUCCUACGGGAGGCAGCAGUGGGGAAUAUUGCACAAUGGGCGCAAGCCUGAUGCAGCAACGCCGCGUGAGCGAUGAAGGCCUUCGGGUCGUAAAGCUCUGUCCUCAAGGAAGAUAAUGACGGUACUUGAGGAGGAAGCCCCGGCUAACUACGUGCCAGCAGCCGCGGUAAUACGUAGGGGGCUAGCGUUAUCCGGAUUUACUGGGCGUAAAGGGUGCGUAGGCGGUCUUUCAAGUCAGGAGUUAAAGGCUACGGCUCAACCGUAGUAAGCUCCUGAUACUGUCUGACUUGAGUGCAGGAGAGGAAAGCGGAAUUCCCAGUGUAGCGGUGAAAUGCGUAGAUAUUGGGAGGAACACCAGUAGCGAAGGCGGCUUUCUGGACUGUAACUGACGCUGAGGCACGAAAGCGUGGGGAGCAAACAGGAUUAGAUACCCUGGUAGUCCACGCUGUAAACGAUGAGUACUAGGUGUCGGAGGUUACCCCCUUCGGUGCCGCAGCUAACGCAUUAAGUACUCCGCCUGGGGAGUACGCACGCAAGUGUGAAACUCAAAGGAAUUGACGGGGACCCGCACAAGUAGCGGAGCAUGUGGUUUAAUUCGAUGAUACGCGAGGAACCUUACCCGGGCUUAAAUUGCAAAUGAAUGUUCUGGAAACAGAUCAGCCGCAAGGCAUUUGUGAAGGUGCUGCAUGGUUGUCGUCAGCUCGUGCCGUGAGGUGUCGGCUUAAGUGCCAUAACGAGCGCAACCCUUAUCGAUAGUUACCAUCAGGUUAUGCUGGGGACUCUGUCGAGACUGCCGUCGUAAGAUGUGAGGAAGGUGGGGAUGACGUCAAAUCAGCACGGCCCUUACGUCCGGGGCUACACACGUGUUACAAUGGGGGGUACAGAAGGCAGCUACACGGCGACGUGAUGCUAAUCCCUAAAACCUCUCUCAGUUCGGAUUGGAGUCUGCAACCCGACUCCAUGAAGCUGGAUUCGCUAGUAAUCGCGCAUCAGCCACGGCGCGGUGAAUACGUUCCCGGGCCUUGUACACACCGCCCGUCA